AAGUCGUAACAAGGUUUCCGUAGGUGAACCUGCGGAAGGAUCAUUAUCGAAUUAUAAGCGAAGGUUGUCGCUGGCCCCUCGGGGCAUGUGCACGCCGGAGCUCUUAAUCCACACACACCUGUGAACUCAAUGUGGGGACGUCCCUCGGGACGAUUCCCAUGUCUUUCAUAUACCCUUAUGUAUGUCUCAGAAUGUCUUAUUGUUGCUUUAACGCAAUGGAAUACAACUUUCAACAACGGAUCUCUUGGCUCUC
RNAcentral lists this unclassified non-coding RNA (253 nucleotides) under air metagenome. RNAcentral's name for it is "partial contains small subunit ribosomal RNA, internal transcribed spacer 1, and 5.8S ribosomal RNA". The stretch from base 1 to 46 matches the Rfam family "Eukaryotic small subunit ribosomal RNA", at positions 1786 to 1831 of the family's 1831-position model. The record is from RNAcentral.